Chrysemys picta bellii (western painted turtle) is the source of this 436-nucleotide non-coding RNA. The record is from RefSeq and is a predicted model, not a curated record. NCBI's taxonomy places the organism in Eukaryota, Metazoa, Chordata, Testudines, Emydidae.
CCGCUCCCGCCCCCGCUCCCGCCCGCGCCCCGGUGCAAAUCUGGGAGCCCCCCCCUUCCUGUCUUUGCAGCACCCCCCCUCUCCCCGUCCCGGGGAUUGCACGGGGCCGGCCAGGAUGCAACAGCCCUAGAACGCAACCCCCCCCCCCAAAACCAGGGGGGGGUGUCAGGUUUGCAACUCAAUUUCCUGCCCCCCCUUACACCCCAAUCUUAGCCAGGCCCUAGGGAUGGUGCGGGGGGGCCACUGGAAGGACAGGACGGCCCCAUGAUCUCCGGCGGCGAGCGCUGAGGGUCCCGGGCGAGCCACCAUGGCCGGCGCCUCCGUCAAAGUGGCCGUGAGGGUUCGGCCUUUCAGCUCCCGGGAAAUCAGCCGGGACGCGAAAUGCGUCAUCCAGAUGCAAGGGAAAACCACCUUUUCCCCAAACAGCACUGCCACA